This 380-nucleotide transfer-messenger RNA is filed under the name Corynebacterium uropygiale. Its description in RNAcentral is "Standard tmRNA". It matches the Rfam family "transfer-messenger RNA". From Rfam's summary of the family: Bacterial tmRNA, also known as 10Sa RNA or SsrA, is named for its dual tRNA and mRNA-like properties. Its role is to liberate the mRNA from a stalled ribosome. To accomplish this part of the tmRNA is used as a reading frame that ends in a translation stop signal. Lineage: Bacteria; Bacillati; Actinomycetota; Actinomycetes; Mycobacteriales; Corynebacteriaceae. The record is from Rfam by way of RNAcentral.
GGGGCUGACAUGGUUUCGACUUCGCGCAUUGAGCCAGGGGAAGCGUGCCGGUGCAGGCUAGAGACCACCGUAAGCGUCGUAGCAACGAAUAAGCGCCGAGAAGAACUCUCAGCGUGACUACGCCCUCGCUGCCUAAUUAGCGAGCGCGUGUCUGUCGGCCCCGGGGUCGUUCCCGCCCCGGACGCCGGCAUCGACUCAGGGAACUUGCCUUCAGGCCGGGCCAACGGGGCCUGAGGGGACUUUUCACCGGUGGCUGGGCUCAUCAUCCGGACAUGUUUGCCUGAUCCGGAGAGCCGAGCAGAGAUGUUGCGCAAACUGCGCACGGAGAAGCCCUGGCAAGAUGUCGGAGGACCCGGGUUCGAUCCCCGGCAGCUCCACAA